Long non-coding RNA from Biomphalaria glabrata, 457 nucleotides. RefSeq lists it as uncharacterized. The transcript is spliced from 2 exons. The record is from RefSeq and is a predicted model, not a curated record. NCBI's taxonomy places the organism in Eukaryota, Metazoa, Mollusca, Gastropoda, Planorbidae.
ACGUACUUCUUCUCUGAUCAUUUCCAAUGUUAUCGUCUUCAUAAAGAGAGAAUAAAAUUAGAUCAUGUUGAUACGGUGUCUCUGUAAUUGAUAUUAACUAAUUAAAGCAAAGGCUGUGUCCGGGAAAGAUUUGGAUGUGAAAAGGCUGGUUCGAACACUGUCGGAGUCAGGUAUUGCAAGGUUGACCAAGGCUAGCACGAGAUGUUGAGAUCCUGGUCAACAGGUCCACAUGAAUGUGUGUACGAGACGUGUGGUUUUUAAGGUAGUUGGUGACUGUGCUCUGAGAGAGUUAGAGUUCGAGCCUCAAGAGUUGGUGAUGACAAACUAUGGGACUGACUUGAGUAAGAAAGUUUUUGCUAUCGGAGAUAAGGAGUCUGUGUUUGACUAUGUAGUUAAAUAAUAACGUCUAUUGAAGAUAUGUUAAAUAGUUCAAUUAAAGUUUUAUUAACUAUCUAAA